GAUGAACGCUGGCGGCGUGCUUAACACAUGCAAGUCGAACGGUGAAGCAGGAGCUUGCUCUUGUGGAUCAGUGGCGAACGGGUGGGUAACACGUGAGCAACCUGCCCCUGACUCUGGGAUGAGCGCUGGAAACGGCGUCUAAUACUGGAUAUGUGAUGUGACCGCAUGGUCUGCAUCUGGAAAGAAUUUCGGUUGGAGAUGGGCUCGCGGCCUAUCAGCUUGUUGGUGAGGUAAUGGCUCACCAAGGCGUCGACGGGUAGCCGGCCUGAGAGGGUGACCGGCCACACUGGGACUGAGACACGGCCCAGACUCCUACGGGAGGCAGCGGUGGGGAAUAUUGCACAAUGGGCGGAAGCCUGAUGCAGCAACGCCGCGUGAGGGAUGACGGCCUUCGGGUUGUAAACCCCUUUUAGCAGGGAAGAAGCGAAAGUGACGGUACCUGCAGAAAAAGCACCGGCUAACUACGUGCCAGCCGCCGCAGUAA
Molecule: ribosomal RNA, 484 nt
Filed under: uncultured bacterium
Lineage: Bacteria
Description: partial 16S ribosomal RNA
Rfam family: Bacterial small subunit ribosomal RNA
Source: RNAcentral